This 520-nucleotide ribosomal RNA is filed under the name uncultured bacterium. Its description in RNAcentral is "bacterial SSU rRNA". It matches the Rfam family "Bacterial small subunit ribosomal RNA", at positions 8 to 518 of the family's 1533-position model. The record is from RNAcentral.
AGAGUUUGAUUCUGGCUCAGAACGAACGCUGGCGGCGCGUUUAAGCAUGCAAGUCGAGCGGCAAGGGCCUUCGGGCCCCUAGAGCGGCGGACGGGUGAGUAACACGUGGACAAUCUGCCCCCCGGUCGGGGAUAGCCCAUGGAAACAUGGGGUAAUACCGGAUGCGACCGGCCGCGCACAAGCGCGGGCGAGGAAAGGCGCCAAGGCGCCGCCGGGGGAUGAGUCCGCGGUCCAUUAGCUAGUUGGCGGGGUAACGGCCCACCAAGGCGACGAUGGAUAGCCGGCCUGAGAGGGCGAUCGGCCACAUUGGGACUGAGACACGGCCCAGACUCCUACGGGAGGCAGCAGCUAAGAAUCUUCCGCAAUGGACGCAAGUCUGACGGAGCGACGCCGCCGUGAACGAAGAAGGCCGUGAGGUUGUAAAGUUCUUUUCGGGAGGGGGAACAACCGUGGCAGGGAAUGGCCGCGGGAUGACGUGAAUCCCGGAAUAAGCCCCGGCUAACUACGUGCCAGCAGCAGC